Small nuclear RNA from Heterocephalus glaber (naked mole-rat), 156 nucleotides. Its record names the gene U4. It matches the Rfam family "U4 spliceosomal RNA". Rfam says of the family: U4 small nuclear RNA (U4 snRNA) is a component of the major U2-dependent spliceosome. The structure of U4 snRNA from yeast and human has been reported. The record is from Ensembl. NCBI's taxonomy places the organism in Eukaryota, Metazoa, Chordata, Mammalia, Rodentia, Bathyergidae.
AGCUUUGCGCAGUAGCAGUAUCAUAGACAGUGAUGCUUAUCCGAGCCGUGAUUAUUGCUAAUUGAAAACAUAAAGUUCCUAAAGAUGAUUAAUUUUUUUUCUGUGGUGCUAGGAUUGACCCAAGGUUUUGUGCAUACUAGGCAAGUGCUCUACCAC